This 305-nucleotide ribosomal RNA is filed under the name uncultured bacterium. RNAcentral's name for it is "bacterial SSU rRNA". It matches the Rfam family "Bacterial small subunit ribosomal RNA", at positions 338 to 658 of the family's 1533-position model. The record is from RNAcentral.
CCUACGGGGCGCAGCAGUGGGGAAUAUUGGGCAAUGGGCGCAAGCCUGACCCAGCAACGCCGCGUGAAGGAAGAAGGCUUUCGGGUUGUAAACUUCUUUUACGGGGGGCGAACAAAUGACGGUACCCCUUGAAUAAGCCACGGCUAACUACGUGCCAGCAGCCGCGGUAAUACGUAGGUGGCAAGCGUUAUCCGGAUUUAUUGGGUGUAAAGGUCGUGUAGUCGGGAGCUCAAGUCAGAUGUGAAAACUCCGUGCUCAACCCUGAGCCUUCAUUUGAAACUGUGUUUCUUGAGUGCUGGAGAGGC